Molecule: RNA transcript, 1658 nt
Organism: Spinacia oleracea (spinach)
Lineage: Eukaryota; Viridiplantae; Streptophyta; Magnoliopsida; Caryophyllales; Amaranthaceae
Gene name: GATA transcription factor 19
Exons: 11
Source: RefSeq, a predicted model, not a curated record
UCAACGUGUACUCAUUUUCGUUUUCUUUUCUCCAUUAUUUAUUUCAUUUAUUUAUUUAUUUAAUUAAUUGCAUUCUUUGUUUUCAGUGUUAACUCACUUAAAUUUAUGCUAUUUUUGAGGUUACCUUUUUCGCAGAAUUCUUUUUGUCCUUCCCAAAAUAUAUAAAAAUUGUCUGAAAUUUUCAAUUUUGGAUAAACCAAUAAUCCAAUUUCAGGAAUAAAUGGCGGCGAAUCCGAAACCGUUGCAAUCGCGGCCGUACGAAGGGGAGGAGGUUCCGAUUCCGGUUGACGGAGAAGAUUCCGGCGAAUCAGACGGCGAUGAUUCGAUGGAUGACGACGGCGUUGAUGAAGAUCAGACGAGGAUAGAGAGUGGAGGUGUGGGUCCCAGUAGUAGUAGGAGGACUAACGAGCUCACCUUGUCUUUCGAAGGGGAGGUCUUUGUGUUCCCUGCUAUCACCCCUGAAAAGGUUCAAGCAGUGCUCUUACUCCUUGGGGAACGUGAUUUUCACGCUGGAGUUCCAACAGCCGAGGUUUCUUGUGGGCAAGAUAAUCGGGUCACUGGAAGCCCUGCAAGGAAAUCCAUUAUUUCCCACCGGGUAGCUUCCUUAGUUAGGUUUCGGGAGAAAAGAAAAGAGAGAUGUUUUGAUAACAAAAUCAGGUAUACAAUACGAAAGGAGGUUGCUGAAAGGAUGCACCGGAAGAAUGGCCAAUUCGCAUCGUUGAGAGAAGAUUCAGCAUCAUCCAAUUUGGAAGCUAAGAAGAAUUUACUGGUUGGUGCUGCUUUGGGGCCGGAAACUGUUUUACACAAGUGCCAGCAUUGUGGUGUUAGUGAAAAUGAUACACCAGCAAUGCGACGUGGACCAUCUGGUCCAAGGACCUUAUGUAAUGCUUGCGGACUGAUGUGGGCCAACAAGGGAACACUGAGAAAUUUAAGUAAAGGAAGAAGAAAUUUCAUAUUGGAUCAAGCUGAACCUGGAACCCCGGUUGAUAGUAAACCUUCCAUUGUUGAAGAAAAUUCACUUGCCAACCCGAGUAAGCUUAGAACGCCAAAAGGUGAUUCCGGUGCUGUAACCAUAGCCUAUAUCAAUUCCUUAGUCAAACCCCAUAAGGAGAAUUCUCAUGGAAUAGAAGACGAUACUAGCAUGCUAACGGAGAUAGCUGUGGAUUCGUCAGGAAACUUUGACAAAGAUGUACUGUAUAACUGAUACUCUGGCUGAGCUUGAUAAUAGUUCCGAGACAGACGUGGAUAUUCCCACCAACAGUGAUUAGUAGACAUGCAUCAAAUACUCGUAAAACAGUAGGUAGUACACAUUAUUAUUACCUCAAAAAAUGAGAAUGAACUUGAAAUCUAGUGUGGAACAUCAGGGAUUCAAGGGCAUCUGCUGAUGCUACUUGCAAUGUCAAUCGACUAGCCUCGAUUUUUUAAUGUUUGGUUAGCAUUAGCUUAUUGGAGUGAUUGCUUCUAUAUAUAUCUGAACUACAGGUCUCCUGAAUUACAGGAGUUGUAACUUUAUAUUGUAGAUAAUGUUUGUAUUAUGAGAUCAGAAAACCAGUAACGCAGUUUGUAUUGUGCUCGGUUUUCUGGAAAUACUGGUAUAUGAUAAUAAUAAUAGUAAUAAUUUUAAGGUUAAAUUUCAGAGUGGGAUUUCCUUAUAUGCA